RNAcentral lists this ribosomal RNA (490 nucleotides) under uncultured bacterium. Its description in RNAcentral is "partial 16S ribosomal RNA". It matches the Rfam family "Bacterial small subunit ribosomal RNA", at positions 28 to 523 of the family's 1533-position model. The record is from RNAcentral.
GACGAACGCUGGCGGCGUGCUUAACACAUGCAAGUCGAGCGGAAAGGCCCUUUCGGGGGUACUCGAGCGGCGAACGGGUGAGUAACACGUGAGUAAUCUGCCCUUCACUUGGGGAUAACUACCGGAAACGGUGGCUAAUACCCGAUAUGACCAAUCACUGCAUGGUGUGUUGGUGGAAAGUUUUUUCGGUGGAGGAUGUGCUCGCGGCCUAUCAGCUUGUUGGUGGGGUAAUGGCCUACCAAGGCUUCGACGGGUAGCCGGCCUGAGAGGGUGACCGGCCACACUGGGACUGAGACACGGCCCAGACUCAUACGGGAGGCAGCAGUGGGGAAUAUUGGACAAUGGGCGAAAGCCUGAUCCAGCAACGCCGCGUGAGGGAUGACGGCCUUCGGGUUGUACACCUCUUUCAGCGGGGACGAAGCGCCGGUAAUGGUGGUGACGGUACCCGCAGAAGAAGCACCGGCCAACUACGUGCCAGCAGCGGCCGCGG